RNAcentral lists this unclassified non-coding RNA (236 nucleotides) under Hevea brasiliensis (rubber tree). The record is from RNAcentral. Lineage: Eukaryota; Viridiplantae; Streptophyta; Magnoliopsida; Malpighiales; Euphorbiaceae.
GGGAUGGUGCCUAUAGAUGCUCUUUUUCUUGAUGUUGCUGAUUCCUCAAAUUCUCUUCUAGCUUGUUGCUUCAAUUCAAGUGAGCUUAUCUUUGGAAUGUCUAAAAUAUGUAUGUUUUCAUGUUAAGGUGCCCUCUUAUGGUACUUUUCUAAUUGCAUAUGGGAUAUUUCAUCUGUUAUUUAAAACCCUGGUUGCCUCGGUUCAAAGCAAGAAAAAAAAAAGGAUGGUAAUACUGC